GACGAACGCUGACGGUGUGCUUUAGACAUGCAAGUCGAACGAGAAAGCCCUUCGGGGUUAGUAAAGUGGCGAACGGGUGAGUAACACGUGGGCAAUCUGCCCCUCGCGAGGGGGACAACCGGAGGAAACCCCGGCUAAUACCCCGUAAGUUCAAAGGGAGGCAUCUCCCUUCGAAGAAAGGUAGCUUCGGCCAUCCGGCGAGGGAUGAGCCCGCGGUGCAUUAGCUAGUUGGUGGGGUAACGCCCACCAAGGCGACGAUGCAUAGCUGGUCUGAGAGGAUGAUCAGCCACACUGGGACUGAGACACGG
This 308-nucleotide ribosomal RNA is filed under the name uncultured bacterium. RNAcentral describes it as "bacterial SSU rRNA". It matches the Rfam family "Bacterial small subunit ribosomal RNA", at positions 28 to 329 of the family's 1533-position model. The record is from RNAcentral.